RNAcentral lists this ribosomal RNA (446 nucleotides) under uncultured bacterium. Its description in RNAcentral is "SSU rRNA". It matches the Rfam family "Bacterial small subunit ribosomal RNA", at positions 26 to 518 of the family's 1533-position model. The record is from RNAcentral.
AGAGCGAACGCUGGCGGCAGGCUUAACACAUGCAAGUCGAGCGGGCGUAGCAAUACGUCAGCGGCAGACGGGUGAGUAACGCGUGGGAACGUACCUUUUGGUUCGGAACAACCCAGGGAAACUUGGGCUAAUACCGGAUAAGCCCUUACGGGGAAAGAUUAUUGCCGAAAGAUCGGCCCGCGUCUGAUUAGCUAGUUGGUGAGGUAAUGGCUCACCAAGGCGACGAUCAGUAGCUGGUCUGAGAGGAUGAUCAGCCACAUUGGGACUGAGACACGGCCCAAACUCCUACGGGAGGCAGCAGUGGGGAAUAUUGGACAAUGGGCGCAAGCCUGAUCCAGCCAUGCCGCGUGAGUGAUGAAGGCCUAGGGUUGUAAAGCUCUUUGUGCGGGAAGAUAAUGACGGUACCGCAAGAAUAACGCCCGGCUAACUUCGUGCCAGCACGCCGC